ACGUAGGCGGCAAGCGUUGUCCGGAAUUAUUGGGCGUAAAGGGAGCGCAGGCGGGAAACUAAGCGGAUCUUAAAAGUGCGGGGCUCAACCCCGUGAGGGGGUCCGAACUGGCUUUCUUGAGUGCAGGAGAGGAAAGCGGAAUUCCCAGUGUAGCGGUGAAAUGCGUAGAUAUUGGGAAGAACACCAGUGGCGAAGGCGGCUUUCUGGACUGUAACUGACGCUGAGGCUCGAAAGCUAGGGUAGCGAACGG
This 250-nucleotide ribosomal RNA is filed under the name uncultured bacterium. RNAcentral describes it as "partial 16S ribosomal RNA". It matches the Rfam family "Bacterial small subunit ribosomal RNA", at positions 525 to 775 of the family's 1533-position model. The record is from RNAcentral.